RNAcentral lists this transfer RNA (85 nucleotides) under Felis catus (domestic cat). It matches the Rfam family "tRNA". From Rfam's summary of the family: Transfer RNA (tRNA) molecules are approximately 80 nucleotides in length. Their secondary structure includes four short double-helical elements and three loops (D, anti-codon, and T loops). The record is from Rfam by way of RNAcentral. Lineage: Eukaryota; Metazoa; Chordata; Mammalia; Carnivora; Felidae.
GCCUGGGGGGCUCAAUCGGUUGAGCGUCUGGCUUCGGCUCAGGUGGUGAUCUCGCGGUCCGUGGGUUCGAGCCCCACAUCGGGCU